CCUACGGUGUGCUGCAGUGGGGGAUAUUGCACAAUGGGGGGAACCCUGAUGCAGCGACGCCGCGUGGGUGAAGGAGCGUUUCGGCGCGUAAAGCCCUAUCGGCAGGGAAGAAGAUGACGGUACCUGGCCAAGAAGCCCCGGCUAAAUACGUGCCAGCAGACGCGGUAAUACGGAGGGGGCAAGCGUUAUCCGGAUUUACUGUGUGUAAAGGGAGCGUAGAAGGAAGAGCAAGUCUGAUGUGAAAGGCUGUGGCUUAACCCCAGGACUGCAUUGGAAACUGUUUUUCUAGAGUGCCGGAGAGGUAAGCGGAAUUCCUAGUGUAGCGGUGAAAUGCGUAGAUAUUAGGAGGAACACCAGUGGCGAAGGCGGCUUACUGGACGGUAACUGACGUUGAGGCUCGAAAGCGUGGGGAGCAAACAGGAUUAGAUACCCGAGUAGUC
This 440-nucleotide ribosomal RNA is filed under the name uncultured bacterium. RNAcentral describes it as "partial 16S ribosomal RNA". It matches the Rfam family "Bacterial small subunit ribosomal RNA", at positions 338 to 795 of the family's 1533-position model. The record is from RNAcentral.